Molecule: ribosomal RNA, 59 nt
Filed under: Pueraria montana var. lobata (kudzu vine)
Lineage: Eukaryota; Viridiplantae; Streptophyta; Magnoliopsida; Fabales; Fabaceae
Also listed under: 2 other names
Description: partial 26S ribosomal RNA
Rfam family: Eukaryotic large subunit ribosomal RNA
Source: RNAcentral
GAGACCUCAGGUCAGGCGGGGCUACCCGCUGAGUUUAAGCAUAUCAAUAAGCGGAGGAA